RNAcentral lists this ribosomal RNA (356 nucleotides) under uncultured bacterium. Its description in RNAcentral is "bacterial SSU rRNA". It matches the Rfam family "Bacterial small subunit ribosomal RNA", at positions 527 to 881 of the family's 1533-position model. The record is from RNAcentral.
GUAGGGGGCAAGCGUUAUCCGGAUUUACUGGGUGUAAAGGGAGCGUAGACGGAUGGACAAGUCUGAUGUGAAAGGCUGGGGCUCAACCCCGGGACUGCAUUGGAAACUGCCCGUCUUGAGUGUCGGAGGGGUAAGUGGAAUUCCUAGUGUAGCGGUGAAAUGCGUAGAUAUUAGGAGGAACACCAGUGGCGAAGGCGACUAACUGGACUGUAACUGACGCUGAGGCGCGGAAGUGUGGGGAGCAAACAGGAUUAGAUACCCUGGUAGUCCACACUGUAAACGAUGAAUGCUAGGUGUAGGGGGUAUCGACCCCUUCUGUGCCGCAGUCAACACAAUAAGCAUUCCGCCUGGGGAGU